RNAcentral lists this long non-coding RNA (861 nucleotides) under Monodelphis domestica (gray short-tailed opossum). Its description in RNAcentral is "lncRNA (ENSMODG00000035467.2)". The record is from RNAcentral. Lineage: Eukaryota; Metazoa; Chordata; Mammalia; Didelphimorphia; Didelphidae.
AGAUUUCAAAAGCCUAGGGUUUCUGAGAGACACACACAAAGGGAUGAGAAGAAAAGAUUGGGAACAGCUAUUGUGAAAACAUCCUAUGGAAUAUAAGAGGAGAGAAGGGAGAGAGUGGGCAGAAUGAGUUGAAGUCAAGCCUUUUCCCGUUUCAAAGAGUUUAUCUUUAAAUAUCAGCAAUUUAGGGGAAAGAAAUCUGAUACCUGAAGGCUCCUCUCAGUUUUACUCCUGGAUGCAGAAAACCUGUCCUGGGAGGAAGAAGCAAGGCAAAUGAAAACACCUCUACUCGGAACCCUUCUAGCCUGCACAAAAACUCUGUUGCCAACAUUUUCUGGGUUUUGUCAAAGCGACACAAAGUAAAUAUUCUCAGGGCUCCAAAUCCCAGAGUGAGCAAGGUUGAUAUCAAAUAACUGUGCUAUGAAAGGAAAACCAACCAGCAUCCAACAGUUACCUUCAUGACACAGGAAUCGUGUCAAUUAGCUUCAAGCAGGAAUACGUGGACCAACUCCAGCUGCUCAGUAAGAAAAGUUUAUUCACCUCUUUGGGAAAAGCAACAAUGAUAACAGGCAAUCUCAGACUUGGGCAAUCCUCAGGAUCACUUUCUUAUUCACUCAUGUAAACAGAAGGAUUCAAACAGCAGAAUUGACUAAGGUAGGUCUUCUGCAUCCAGGAGUAAAACUGAGAGGAGCCUUCAGCACAGAGUCUGGAUCAUCGCUGAAUUCAAUUGACAUCUGAAUUUUACUGGUGAAGAUACUGAAACUGAGAGGAGUUAAAUGACAGAGCUAUUAUGGAGCAGGAAAAGGAUUCACAUUCAGCUCUUGACUUUAAUUCAUUGCUUCUAUAAAAUGGAAAGAACAUUUG